AAUUAGACUUAUGUUAAAGUGUCUGCCUGCAAUGCAGGAGACCUGGGUUCGAUCCCUGAGUU
Molecule: transfer RNA, 62 nt
Filed under: Bos taurus (domestic cattle)
Lineage: Eukaryota; Metazoa; Chordata; Mammalia; Artiodactyla; Bovidae
Also listed under: 4 other names
Rfam family: tRNA
About the family: Transfer RNA (tRNA) molecules are approximately 80 nucleotides in length. Their secondary structure includes four short double-helical elements and three loops (D, anti-codon, and T loops).
Source: Rfam by way of RNAcentral